UACGGGGGGGGCAAGCGUUGUUCGGAAUUACUGGGCGUAAAGGGCUCGUAGGCGGCCAACUAAGUCAGACGUGAAAUCUCUCGGCUUAACCGGGGAACUGCGUCUGAUACUGGAUGGCUAGAGGUUGGGAGAGGGAUGCGGAAUUCCAGGUGUAGCGGUGAAAUGCGUAGAUAUCUGGAGGAACACCGGUGGCGAAGGCGGCAUCCUGGACCAAUUCUGACGCUGAGGAGCGAAAGCCAGGGGAGCAAACGGG
This 253-nucleotide ribosomal RNA is filed under the name uncultured bacterium. Its description in RNAcentral is "partial 16S ribosomal RNA". It matches the Rfam family "Bacterial small subunit ribosomal RNA", at positions 524 to 776 of the family's 1533-position model. The record is from RNAcentral.